This 1553-nucleotide ribosomal RNA is filed under the name Klebsiella pneumoniae. RNAcentral's name for it is "bacterial SSU rRNA". It matches the Rfam family "Bacterial small subunit ribosomal RNA". Lineage: Bacteria; Pseudomonadati; Pseudomonadota; Gammaproteobacteria; Enterobacterales; Enterobacteriaceae. The record is from RNAcentral.
ACUUAAAUUGAAGAGUUUGAUCAUGGCUCAGAUUGAACGCUGGCGGCAGGCCUAACACAUGCAAGUCGAGCGGUAGCACAGAGAGCUUGCUCUCGGGUGACGAGCGGCGGACGGGUGAGUAAUGUCUGGGAAACUGCCUGAUGGAGGGGGAUAACUACUGGAAACGGUAGCUAAUACCGCAUAAUGUCGCAAGACCAAAGUGGGGGACCUUCGGGCCUCAUGCCAUCAGAUGUGCCCAGAUGGGAUUAGCUAGUAGGUGGGGUAACGGCUCACCUAGGCGACGAUCCCUAGCUGGUCUGAGAGGAUGACCAGCCACACUGGAACUGAGACACGGUCCAGACUCCUACGGGAGGCAGCAGUGGGGAAUAUUGCACAAUGGGCGCAAGCCUGAUGCAGCCAUGCCGCGUGUGUGAAGAAGGCCUUCGGGUUGUAAAGCACUUUCAGCGGGGAGGAAGGCGUUAAGGUUAAUAACCUUGGCGAUUGACGUUACCCGCAGAAGAAGCACCGGCUAACUCCGUGCCAGCAGCCGCGGUAAUACGGAGGGUGCAAGCGUUAAUCGGAAUUACUGGGCGUAAAGCGCACGCAGGCGGUCUGUCAAGUCGGAUGUGAAAUCCCCGGGCUCAACCUGGGAACUGCAUUCGAAACUGGCAGGCUAGAGUCUUGUAGAGGGGGUAGAAUUCCAGGUGUAGCGGUGAAAUGCGUAGAGAUCUGGAGGAAUACCGGUGGCGAAGGCGGCCCCCUGGACAAAGACUGACGCUCAGGUGCGAAAGCGUGGGGAGCAAACAGGAUUAGAUACCCUGGUAGUCCACGCCGUAAACGAUGUCGAUUUGGAGGUUGUGCCCUUGAGGCGUGGCUUCCGGAGCUAACGCGUUAAAUCGACCGCCUGGGGAGUACGGCCGCAAGGUUAAAACUCAAAUGAAUUGACGGGGGCCCGCACAAGCGGUGGAGCAUGUGGUUUAAUUCGAUGCAACGCGAAGAACCUUACCUGGUCUUGACAUCCACAGAACUUUCCAGAGAUGGAUUGGUGCCUUCGGGAACUGUGAGACAGGUGCUGCAUGGCUGUCGUCAGCUCGUGUUGUGAAAUGUUGGGUUAAGUCCCGCAACGAGCGCAACCCUUAUCCUUUGUUGCCAGCGGUCCGGCCGGGAACUCAAAGGAGACUGCCAGUGAUAAACUGGAGGAAGGUGGGGAUGACGUCAAGUCAUCAUGGCCCUUACGACCAGGGCUACACACGUGCUACAAUGGCAUAUACAAAGAGAAGCGACCUCGCGAGAGCAAGCGGACCUCAUAAAGUAUGUCGUAGUCCGGAUUGGAGUCUGCAACUCGACUCCAUGAAGUCGGAAUCGCUAGUAAUCGUAGAUCAGAAUGCUACGGUGAAUACGUUCCCGGGCCUUGUACACACCGCCCGUCACACCAUGGGAGUGGGUUGCAAAAGAAGUAGGUAGCUUAACCUUCGGGAGGGCGCUUACCACUUUGUGAUUCAUGACUGGGGUGAAGUCGUAACAAGGUAACCGUAGGGGAACCUGCGGUUGGAUCACCUCCUUACCUUAAAGAA